UUUCGUUUGAAGCGACGCUCGACGGAGGUUCACGCAUUACUAGUAUAUUUUAUUACGGUAAAUAAUUAAUUAAAACAAGGACUAGACGUUAUGUUAAUAUCAAGUCUAUAUCAAGCCAGUUAUGUCUGUGUGGUUUGCAGCUAAUUUUCAGUCUGUGAUUUGAUAUCAUCAAGAGUUGGAGUUUGGCCAUUGCAAAGUGGUCGUUGACUAUUGCACGUGGAGAAGGCUUGAAGGCGUGAGGCUGUGGAGCAUCAAUGACAUCCUCAUUUCCUUAUGGAUCUGGUACGUGUGACGUUGCGUGUGGACUAGAGAAAUGGGCGUGUCAAUAGCUGUUGAAUGUCAUUGGACUGACGACUGUCAACGGCACCGAGUUCUUACUGCAAGCUCCAGACACUGAGACUGGAGAUAGUUGGGCUGAGGUGAUCGGUGAUACGAUACGACAGCUGGAGCAAGACAAAACGAUUGCGAAUCCAAUGGUUGCUGA
This is a long non-coding RNA of Corticium candelabrum, 484 nucleotides long. RefSeq lists it as uncharacterized. Lineage: Eukaryota; Metazoa; Porifera; Homoscleromorpha; Homosclerophorida; Plakinidae. The record is from RefSeq and is a predicted model, not a curated record. The transcript has 4 exons.